Molecule: regulatory RNA element, 87 nt
Organism: Firmicutes bacterium CAG:345
Lineage: Bacteria; Bacillati; Bacillota
Rfam family: c-di-GMP-I riboswitch aptamer
About the family: GEMM was predicted in a large-scale screen for bacterial structured RNA regulatory elements.
Source: Rfam
ACCUGUAAAAGGCAAAAUAUCAGUAAUGAUGUGACGCAAAGCUACAGGGUCUAAAAUUUAAUGAAAAUUAGAUAGCCAGUUACCUUA